RNAcentral lists this ribosomal RNA (804 nucleotides) under Triticum aestivum (bread wheat). Its description in RNAcentral is "partial small subunit ribosomal RNA". The record is from RNAcentral. Lineage: Eukaryota; Viridiplantae; Streptophyta; Magnoliopsida; Poales; Poaceae.
AUGGCUUUUGCGGGCGCAUCUCUCGUCGCCGACGGCAAGUUAUGCGCCGCCACCGAGUCGGUCGUUGACUCUGGCGCGGACUGCGGGUACCACUUGCUCUUUGUCCAAGGCUACUCACGCACCAAUUUCAUUGACCAGCCCGAGUUGCGGGUGCCAAAGCACAUCCGCCAAAGCCAACCAGUUUACUUGGAUGAACGUCUCGAUGGCCAGUAUGAAUUCAUGAAAAUAAAGGAUUUUGAAAGAUCAAGGCAUCUCAAGGACGACAGCUUCAUCCUCCGGUGUGACCUUGUUGUGUGCAAGCCGGGCACGAAUACCAAGGGGCAGAGCGCCUGCUCCGCCGCCCGUCCGUUCACAAAAUUGCCACCGCCUGACUUGCAAAGCCGUCUUGCCAAUCUCCUCCUGAGCAAGGAGUGUGCUGACAUUACAUUUGAGGUUGGCGGCGAGGAGUUUGCUGCGCAUCGUUGCCUGCUUGUGGCCCGAUCGACCGUAUUCAGGGCACAACUCUCUGGUGCCAUGAAUGAAUCGUGUGUUGUCAAGAUAAGUGGCAUCAAAGCAGACGUCUUUAGGGGCUUGCUUACCUUCAUCUACACUGAUGCAGUACCUGACUUCAUGGAAGCAGAUGAUGAUGACGUUGAAACAUUUGCAACCCGGCUGCUGGAGUUCCUUGAAGCUGCGGAAAGAUAUGAUCUCGAAAAGCUCAAAACGGUCUGUGAAGAGAAGUUGGCCGAUUUCUUAUGUGCAGACAUGGAGUCAGACAUCAUUGUCAAUGAGCUUCUCUCCAAGUUUGCGUUGCUGAACCUCUGA